AUGAACAUUCGUGAGUGGGAAUGUGAAAAUCGAAUAUGUUGUGAUCAGGACACUGGCCGCCAGAUGGACCCCCGGCGACGCGAAGCUGAUGCAACGACGCUCAGGCUAGAGGGAUUUUUUGGAAAUGAAGGGAUUCUGAGUUUGACCAUCGCGCGGGUUGCGUCGCCUUUUUCCCAGCUUCGGAAACCGCCUCCGUCCUUUGGGUCUCGCCUUUCUCUGUUUGUUUGAUUUUAUUUCGUCACCCAAUACAUGUUCCAUCACGCACUUUUGAUUUUUCAUUCCAUUUUUUUUGUUCUCCCAAACCCCCGCGCCCGUGCCAAGGCUAUUACGGGCCCGUGACAAGGCCACCACAGGCCCCGCGACAGUUGUUUUGUCCCGUGAUCAUUAAAUGAAGAUACGUACUUGUUUUGUGUCACUGCGUGCCUUGUUCAUACAUAGCAACUUUUAAAAGAGUUUAUGUGGGGAAACAUUUUUUUGUUGGGAAUGUACAUUUUUGCCAUCUGUGCUUCAACGUCAAUAGCACCUAAAGACGGAUGUUGCUCACAGUUUUCAUCAGAUCAUUCAGCAAUAAAACGACGUAAUUAGGUUAAAUACACCAUACUUUUCAUGGGUAAGCAAGAGAGUUUUAGAGUAAAUCUUUCCUGUGGAAAAAAUCAUGGCUCAUUCCUGUCACGGUACGUGAAAUAUUGCGAAUCGAGAACACCCAUAGUGACGUUAAUUGUCGCUUUCAUUUUCAAUGCAUGACAUUAAUACAAGCGCAUUCAAAUACUGUUGUUUUCCUUAAUUUCUGACCCUGACAUGAUUAAUAUCCCGUGCAUGACAUUUUCAGUUAUCUCUUCGUUUUUUCCUUUUUUCUUGACACAUAGCUCAUUUCCCAACUGUUAAAAUUGUCACUGAACCAGUCAACUAAAAACCAUUUAAAGCGAUGAUGCGUUAUUUUUAUAUCAAUUUAUUUUUCUUGCUGCUUUUAAUUUAUUUUCAAGGAAUCCACGUGAGUAAUUGCUCCCUUAUGCUUUCAAUUUUUCUAUUGUAUUGUUUUUCAUUCAUACUGAUACAUACACCUGAAAAUUUGAUUAAGUAUCCUCCCAAAAUGAGCCAAUUUUGAAUCUCUCUAAUAAAGAGCUCUACCAGCAACUGUGAACACGAUCCUGAAGUUAGUGUGAACCUCUUUCUAAAGUGUUUGAACGAAAAAAAGAGAUAAAUUCCUCCAAAAGAUCAAUGGCAGUGGCUUAUUCUAUUAAUACAUUAAAUAAUAAUAAUGGAACUCAAAAAUCUAUAUUCUUGCCUUUUUAAUAGUGUAACAUUCUCAUUUUUGCGUAAAAUAUAACUUACGCAUUAACACGAGCAGACAUAUCAUUAUAGAAUACUUUAAUAGACAGAAUUUAGCGAGACAUUAAUAUGUAGUGAAUCUGUGGAGGAAAAGAACCCAGUCAUCUUUCCGUCACCUAUCUCCGACGACCCCCAUCGCUCUUCAAAGCGUCACCUCCCGGCCAAAGUAUCACAAGCGCCAUUCAAUGUUUCAAAAUUUCCGCCGCCAUUUUAUUUUUUACAGAGAGAUUGUUCCACGUAGCUGUCCUAAAAUUUCACUGAAUUUUCUUUGUGCUGUCGAUAAAAUGCAGUGAAAUUUUCAAACAGAUUCAACUAACAAUAAAGGACACUAUUCAAAAUCGGCAUUUUUGGCCCCCCCGGGG
This 1691-nucleotide long non-coding RNA is filed under the name Bemisia tabaci. RNAcentral describes it as "lncRNA ENSSSA2NGG011701". The record is from RNAcentral. Lineage: Eukaryota; Metazoa; Arthropoda; Insecta; Hemiptera; Aleyrodidae.